CCAGAUUCCCCAAUAGGAAACAGGAUCAAGGCCCAUGGAUGCCAUAAGAAUCGACCACAAGAGACAAAUAGGUGGGAUGUUGUUUUAUCGGCGGCUAGGUCAACUGAAGCUAUCUCUGUGCCGGUGAGCAAUUUUCCGGCGACAGGAAGGUUGGAACAAGAUCUAGAUUUCAUCAUGCUUGUGAUAAAGGUUUGGAAGACUCGCCGAAAAGUCCUGGGUUGUCGUCGGAGAGAGAGAGAAACCCGUUUCUUCAUCUUUAAUUGAGAAAAGUCUCGGUUAGGCAGAGCCAUGGAUCCUCUCCGCUGUGUAAGGGAUGUGGUGGCUGCAUUGGAUAGGAUUUCAUUGGAACUUCGCCGAGGCGUCACUGGGAUUAGUAGAUCUGUCUGGUUUAAAGAUGAGGGAGAAACAGCUCAAGCGUAUGAGACAUCAAAAUCGACAAAAGUAUCCUCGGCCAAAGCCGGAGCAGAUCCAAGGGAGCCAUCUCCAGGGGUAGCGACACCUGAGGGUGAGACUUCAUUGGUGACAAGAUAAUAUGCUGAGAUGGGAGGUAGGUCAAUUAAAGGCCAGUCUCAGCAGCUCCACAGGGCACAUCAUCACCGUCUUUGAGAAUACAGUUAUAUACACGAGAAAGUUCUCCGGAGGAUUCGCCAUUGGAGACCGGGCUUUCUACGGUAACGUGAGAAAGGUAAACCAAAGUAAAACCCAGAUCUACAUCUAGAGCAGUAGUCAAUACUUCAAUCGAGACCCAGGCAAGGUGAAGCACCUCAGAAUGAGAGGAAGGACUAAAAGAAAAGGCCACCGGUGAGUAAAUGAUCGGCAUCGUAAGAAAGAGAACGGACCACCGUAGCAACGCCGACAUUGGUACGAGGACAUAGCAUUAUCUAUGUUUAUUUAGCUUUUCACAUAACCAAACGUGAGAAAGAGAUUCGAUUGGUAUGUGACCAAGUUGAGAAAAGUAAUCCAAAGGAGGAGAAUACACGCGGCGGAAACUCCUCCUAUUUCAUAGGUUUUCCAUUUUUCUCAAUUUCGAUAUGGGCACGAAUCUGCUUGUGUAGGAUUUGAGAGCGGUUGGCUACUUUGGUUUUCUAACUUUAAAAACGGAGUCUUCAGCGGAGUCGAAGGAGUGGAGAUGGAAACAGAGCCAUUGUGCGCGAGUCUCGCCACUUGCAUGAUGUAUUCUAGUCAGCCAUGUUUGUGAUCCACAUAGUUUGUUUGGGAUUUGUGCUCGUGGUGCUUGUACUCAAUAUGUUUAGAAUAUCAUAUAGGUUUAAACAUUGAUAGGUACAAUAAAGGUCUCUCGAAGAAUCAUAAAGAGCUCACCGAGCACUACUAGCCUCUCUAUCCUGUUGAUGGUGGGAUUGGAGUCUUUAGUUGUUGGGUUUGGUCAUUGCUGCUUGUUCUUACAUCAAUGAGAUGAUGAAAGUUUAUGUUCACAUCUUACCUAUUGAUAACAGGAUUUUCACCCAA
Molecule: long non-coding RNA, 1467 nt
Organism: Camelina sativa (false flax)
Lineage: Eukaryota; Viridiplantae; Streptophyta; Magnoliopsida; Brassicales; Brassicaceae
Source: RefSeq, a predicted model, not a curated record